UACGAAGGGGGCUAGCGUUGCUCGGAAUCACUGGGCGUAAAGCGCACGUAGGCGGAUCUUUAAGUCAGGGGUGAAAUCCUGGAGCUCAACUCCAGAACUGCCUUUGAUACUGGGGAUCUCGAGUCCGGAAGAGGUGAGUGGAACUCCGAGUGUAGAGGUGAAAUUCGUAGAUAUUCGGAGGAACACCAGAAGCGAAGGCGGCCAACUGGCCCGAUACUGACGCUGAGGCGCGAAAGCGUGGGGAGCAAACAGG
This 253-nucleotide ribosomal RNA is filed under the name uncultured bacterium. Its description in RNAcentral is "partial 16S ribosomal RNA". It matches the Rfam family "Bacterial small subunit ribosomal RNA", at positions 524 to 776 of the family's 1533-position model. The record is from RNAcentral.